This is a non-coding RNA of Manis javanica (Malayan pangolin), 7222 nucleotides long. The record is from RefSeq and is a predicted model, not a curated record. Lineage: Eukaryota; Metazoa; Chordata; Mammalia; Pholidota; Manidae.
UUUUAUGGAUGGGGUCUUCUGCUGUGCAGAAGCUUUUUAGUUCGAUGUAGUCUCACUUGUUUAUUUUUGCUUUGUUUUGCCUUGCCUGGGGAGUCAUGUCCAGAAAACAUGACCAAGGCUAAUAUUCAAGAGUUUACUCCUUGUUUUCUUUUAGGAGUUUAAUGGCUUCAGGUCUUCUAUGUAGGUCUUUAAUCCAUUUCAAGUUCAUUUUGUGGAUGGUGUAGAAAGCGGUCCAGUUUCAUUCUCCAGUGCAUGAUAUUUCUGUUAUGGUUGAGUUCUCAUGUUUUUGGUUUCUACUUAUGUCCAUUUCAGUAAAGUACAUUUUUUCUAGGAAACAUUUUUGCCAAAUAUAUUUCAAAUAAGUACAAACUUUUUUUCAUAGUUUUUUCUCAUUUAAAAAAAAAUCUCUACUUCUAUAGUUGUACCUCCCUUUUGGUCCUAAAUUAUUCUUAGUGUCCACUCUUUUUUCAUAUAUCCACCUCCCCAGAAGUUUGCCAGAGCAGAAUGCCAGCCAGAAAGGCUAGUGUGUAUAUAUAUAUAUAUAAAGAGAUAACAAAUGUUGGUGAGAAAAGGGAACCCUUGUGUACUAUUGGUGGGAAUGUAAAUUGGUGCAGUCACAUGGAAAACAGUAUGGAGUUUCCUCAAAAAAUUAAAAAUAGAAAUAUCAUCCUCCCCAGAAAUCCCACGCUUGGAUUUACCUGAAGAAAACAGGGUAAAUACAUAAUUUGAAAAGUAUAUGCACCAUUUUAUUUAUUGCAGUAUUAUGUACAAUAGCCAAGACAUGGAAGCAACGUAAGUGUCCGUCAGUAGGUGAACAGAUAAGAAAGACGUGGGGUAUAUAUGUGUCAUGGAAUAUUUCUCAGCCAUAAAAAAUGAAAUCUUAUUAUUUGUGACAACAUGGAUGGACUUAGAGGGUAUUAGGCUAAGUGAAAUAAGUCAAAUACCAUAUGAUUUCACUAUAUGUAGAAUCUAAAAGACAAAAUGAAAAAAGUCAUAAAAAGAGAGGACAAACUGAUAGUUGUUACCAUAAGAGGGGGCAGGGGAAUGGGUGAAAUAGGUGAAGGGGAUAAAGAGGGACAAACUUCCAAUUAUAAAAUGAAUAAGUCACAUGGAUAAAAAGUACGUCAUAGGGCACACAGUCAAUGAUACUAUAGUAACUUUGUAUGGUGACAUGUUAGCUACGCUUACAUGGUGAGCAUUUUGUAACAUGUAUAUUUGUCAAGUUACUGUGUUGUACACCUGAAACCUAUAUAUUAUUAUAAUGUCUAUCAGCUAUAUUUAAAAAAAUACAAUCAAAAGCAAUAUCAUGCAUUAAGAUUAUAUUCCUUUUCCUCUGAGUUUAUAAAAGUGCAAUACAAGAGAUACUUGUGAUGAUGGGACUGUUUUGCCUUUUGAUUGUGGUGGCAGAUACACAAACCUACAAAUUAAAUCAGUAGAACAAAUACACACACACAGGUGAGGACAAGCAAAGCUGAGGAAAUCUGAGAGACUGUAUGAUGUCAGUAUCCUGGUUGUUAUAUUGUGUUACAGUUUGACAAGAUCGUAUCAGUGGUGACGCUUGUCAAAGGGUCCGUGGGCUUUCAGUUUCUUACUCCUGCAUAGGAAUCUACAAUAAUCUUAAUAAUUUCAAUUAAAAAAUAUACACCAUCCUCAAAUGCCAAAUAAGAUUAUUGGUGAGUUCCUGGGAACACCAAAAAAACAGAUCUUAAUCCUAUGCAAACUAUUCUAGAUAUUUGAAAAUGAGUGCCUGUGUCCAAGGUAUUUUAUGAAGGUAGCAUAACAUUCACAUCAAAACCAGAGAAGCGCAAUACUUGAAAGGAAGAUUCUACGCUAAAUUUACCUACCAUAGGGACAAAGAUCUUAUUACUGAACAUAGCAACAUAUUAAAUGGAACUAAACAUGACCACGUUGUACCUAUACUAGGCAUACAAGGAUAGCUCAGCAGCCGAUGAGCUAAUAAUGUAAUUCCUUAUGUUAAAGGAAUAAGGAAGAAAAGUAAUAUUAUCCUCUCGGUAGAUUCAGAAAUAAUAAAAUUCAAUACUCAUGCAUAGUAAAGAUGUCUUUAAAAACCAGUAAUAGAAGGGAGCUUUCUUAAGCAGACAAAACUAGCAAAUAAAAUUUUUAACAAGUUAAUUGCAGAAACAUUUAAUGACCAUAACAAGAGAAAAGAGGGUUAUAAUAUAAAAUUCUAUGAAGCAGUUUAUAGUUAAUGACCUGGAGAUAUUUAUACUGAUAGGGAUGAAUCUAAAAAUGUGUAAUAGGGAAUAAAGACAAGUUUCAGAAGGAUGCAUAUGGUCUGAUUCCUUGCAUAGUUUAGGAAUACAUUCACACGCAGAAGAAGCAAAAUCUACAGACGGGAUAAACACCAAGUUAAGGAUACUGGUUACUUUUGACCGUGAGGUAUGAGGGAGCAGUGGGUGAACAUUAUGCGGGGGUUCGCGUUGGUAUCCAUAAGGCUUUAUUUCUUAAGCUGGAUUGUGCGCACGUAGGUGUGGUUCACAUCAGUGCGUAGGGUUAGUUUUCUUCCCUCCUGUCUGUUUCCAUGGGCGUGGUGGGGGAUAGGAGAGGGGUAACUAUGGCUGUCAGCUGAAGUGUUUUGAUUCCCAUUUUGUUUUCACUUCUUGGUGUGGCCCCUUCUGAUCACCUCAUCUAAAAUUUCAGCUUGCCUUUCUCACCGACAUUUUUUAAUUUUUAUCAUCUUUUAGUAUCUAUCGUGUGUGUUUUACUGAUCUGCCAUGUUCAUUGUCUUUCAGCUCUACCGAAGGGAAGCUCCAACACGGUUGGGACAUUUGUGGGGUUUUUGUUGUUAUUCAUUGUUUAUCUCCAGCCCUAAAUCAAUGUCUGGCACAUAGGAGACUCUUGACAAAUACUCGUUGCAUAAAUAAACAUAUAUGAACAAUUGAUGAAGCAAAGGUUUAUUUGAGUAAAAGUACCCUGCUCUUUGAUGUUCCUCUCUUUAUUGCCUUCAUCGACUUCCCAUCCUUAAUCUGGAAUGGUGUUGGUGAGGCAGGCCGGACGAGGGGGCAGAGGGGCUCAGGGCGCAGAUCGGAAGGUAUGGGGUCAACAGGAUGCUUGCAAAGACACGGGAUGCACAGGGCUCAGAACAACCGGGAGAGAACAAUAGGAUGCUGCAGACCCGCGCAUACCAAAAUAAAGUCCCGAUGGUCGGCCUGCCAGGUCAAUUUCCUCUUAAGAGGAGAUGUUCUCUCUCUCCCUCACUAGGCAUGCGCGACCCAGCGCAUUAGGCAGUUACUCGCCCUGCAUCCAUGGAUAUUCACCCCACAGUUAAUCAGGCCCUUUUUAAACCCCACCCACUGUACCUCUGGGCUGCUCACCCCCCAGCACACCCACACUCCCUCUCUCGGUGUAUCCUUGUGCUUUAAUAAGCUCCUGCUUGCUUGCAUCUGCUUGACCCGCUCUUGAAUUUUUUCUCACCCAGAGCCAAGAAACCUCUUGGAGGUCCCACCAAGCUGGCGGGGAGGCCUCCCUGCACCAGAUUUCCCAACCACUUGGGGGUGCAAGCCAGGGUUCCCGGAGCCUCUCUCUGCUGCUACCGUCAUCUCAGAAGACGCCUUGUGCUGACACAUGCAAUUCCUUCUCAGGGAAAACAGAGUACGAAGAACAACCGGAAGGUUAUGAGAACUGAAUCCAGACCUCGUGCGUGCUUCAUGGACCAGCCACACACCUGAGUCUCCACUCACUCUCUUUCCUCCGACGGCACCCCUGAGCCCAGGACUUCCAUACCGACUCUCUGGAACUGGGCCCCGAAUGGGGCUAUUCUGACUUGCGCGAGUGUUAGAGUUGUCAGGCAGUCAUCUCUCAUCCUCUGAGGAGCUGGAGCGCGAGCCAGGUAGGCGCAGAGUUCCACUCAAAUCAUUGACACUUCUGAAUUAUCCAGAAAUCCAAAUUUCAAAAAACCAAGCAAAUAGGUACCAGUGAUUUAUUCAAAAUGAUUUUGGGACAACUAGGUAGCAAUCUGGAAAAACAAGUCAGAGUCUUCCUUUAUUCUUCCAGGAGGCAGAAUUCCAAAUGUACCCCAUGAUCUUUGCCCAGCGUUUCUCUUAUGAUUGUGUUGACUUGUGUGCACAGGAGGCCUUAAAAUAGGGAGAUUAUCCAGAAUCAUUCAGAAGGGCCAGUGACCAGCCUAGGGUCCUUGAGCUCCGCAUGCUACAACAUUUAGCACCAGGCUCCCAGUCUGGCUUGGCCAAGGCUUUAUUACCCUGGAACAGAGGGAGUCAGGACGGAGGAAAGAAUCCUCAGCUGACUCUCCAGAGAGGAGGUGGGGAAACGUUUCUAAAAGGUCACACAGCUGCCGAUCCUGAAGCCAAGAUUCUCCCCAAGCAAGUUUCACUCCAGGACCCGUGCUCUUGAUUGCUGUUACACUGCCUCGGCCCAGUGAUUGAAGAAAAACAAAUGAAAAUCUUUACAUCCUCAGGCAUCCAAUGAGCAGUAAUGGGGAUGACUCAAAGUGACACAUGACUGUUUGGUCAGUACAUGGGGGACAGACUCAGUCAGAUUGAUCAUGAACACAAAACAAAACAACCCACCAGAGGCAAUAAGGGCUCCUGGUCAUUACAAAUUACUUAAUAGACUGGGUCUUUUUCUGUUCUGUCUCAGGCCCAGGGUCAUCACAUGGGUCUUUAAAAGCAGAAGAGAAAUAAGAGGUCAAGCCAGAUCUGAAGCCGCAGUACCGGCUGUCCUGUGGAUUCAUCAUGUUGUGGGUGGGACCGUGUGACGGGAGAUGGGGAGUGGCCUCCUGUGGCUGAGGCUAGCCCUGUGGCUGACAAACAGCCAGGAAACAGAGACCGUGGGUCUACCGGCAAGGAGCUGGAUUCCACCAAGGGCCUUAGUGAACUUGGAAUUGGGUUCUACCCAGAGCCUGUGGAAAGACACCUGCCUGGCCAGUGCCUUGACUUUAGCCCCCUGACACUCUUGAGCAGAGCAUCUAGUCGGGCUAUGCUGGACUUCGGAUCUACAGAACUGAGAGAGGAUACAUUUCUACUGUUGCAAAGCUGCCGACUCUGGGACAGGUUGUUAUGGCAGGCUGACAAUGCCUGGCAUCAAAAUAAAUUCCAGAAGCAUCAAUGAUGAAUAAAUAUAAUGAUGAAAGCAUCAAAACUUGCUGCACAAUAAAUCAUGAAUAAAAUCAAAAUACAAACAACAAAUUGGGAAAAAAAUAUUUAUAACACAUAUAGAAAGCCAAGGGUGUAAUUAACCUAAUAUUUAAAAAAUAUACACAAAUCCGUUGUAAAUUUUAAGGAUGCUUAAUCUCUCAUAAUAAAAUGAACUCAAGUGAAGACUGUAUGGAUCAUUAUCACUUUUCACGUAUUGUGUUAGGCAAACAUUGAAAGGUUUGUUCAGGGUGUGGAAAAACAGGCAUUUUCAUUUGAUAUUGUUGGUGAGGCAAGUGGUUCACUCCUUUGAAGGGCAAUUUGAUGAUAGGAAAUUUAAAAUGCGCAUACUUUUAGCAACUGUACUUUUUCAAAUUUAUCCUAAACAUAUAACUCAUAAAUACGUACAGAGAUAUCAGUAUUAGUGUCGCCAUCACAUAUCUAAAACCCUUAGUGCUGAAUAUGCUUCAGAAUUUAAAACUGUUUGGAUUUCAGCAAGAUAAGUUGGCCGGAGUCCCAGCGCCGCAGAUCCAAGCGAUGCCCCGGGGGCGGUGCACACAGAGCUGCAGACCCUCCCCGACUCCGCGCCCAGCCCGGGGGUCCUGCCACUGGUUGGAUGGGCCUAUAGCUUUCCUUCCAGGAAGCUUUGAUUAAGCAAAGCAAGAACUGGGGGUGCGUAAAGGGAUCUGCCCCUGAGAGCAUCUGUCGAUUCUCACUCAUUGACUAACUGAUGGAGGGGAAGAAUUAUUUUCCUAUCUAAAUAUGGAGAGGAUCAAACACGAGCAGACCUCCGGAGCCUCAGCCUGUGGCCUCUUUGGGUUUCUGGAUGCUUCCCUUACUUGCCUGCCCAGCUCAGAGGGCAUGAAAAGAAACGGCUAAAGAUAUUAACCAACCCACUCUGCUCCUUUGGGAAUCUGCAUUUAUAGUCUAUGCUGGUGCUUUAAAGGUCUCAAACAAAGUUACCCAGCUUUGAUUGUAUUUGUCUACACUCUAUUAACUCAGGUGUCUGAGAGCAUGUCUGCCCAGGUCCUCACCACUUCCCUUCCUCUCCACCCCUUCAACAGCUGCCUGCCACACAGCGGGGCCUGGAUGAGGCACCCCAGUCAAGACAGAGUCUUGUUAUGAAACUACGCUAAACAAGUAACCCUGACCAGGUGCCAGGCACUGUUCUGUGCAUAUUCUGUAUAUUUUUCAUGUAAUCUGCAUGCUACAGGGGCAGACACCAUUAUCAUCCUGAUUUUACAGGUAAGGCAAAGAAGUAAUUGUCCAACAUUCAGAGGUAGUAACGUAAGAGUCAGGAUGUAAACCUAGGAGGUCCGCAGUCGGUACUCACAGCUACUCCACUCAACUGCCUCUCCCCAAGUCAUGCAAUGCCUCUCUCGGUGACGUGGAAAUAGCAGUGAAAGCAUCUCUUUAUUGCUGUUUCAUUCCUGAUUAUGAGACUGACUGUGAACCUGCCACAGUUUGAGAGAGCACAUUACAGCCGCCACCCAGGACCUCUGUGAGGACAAGAUGGGACGCCUGGGUUGCGAGUUGCAUGAAGGAACAUCUUAGAGCACUGAAGGCAAGUUGAUGGCUCUCUGCCUAUGUGUCGCUCGUUCUCCUGCAUGCCGAAGCUCUCUGGAGAUCUCAUUUAGCGAAUGAAGGCUAAUAAAGCAACAGCUAUCUGCAUGGCCCUGUUCUGGACUACUUGUCUGGGUCACGUCAUGAGCUUUGGGGCAGCUGUGAUCUGUCCAUUCCGGAGGAGGUAAGUAGGUACAGAGAGGACAUGGCUUACCUACAGUCACAUGUUGGGGUCUGAGGCAUAAAUGAAUCACUGCAACACUCUAAGUUCAUGCACUAUUUGAGUGGCCUAUGUAUGUGGACUACCAGAUGUGGAUAAAGUGAAGGUUCCUGUGGCCAGGAUUCUCACUGGUCCUGGUCAGCUAGCUCACAACACACGUGGGCAAUACAUUGUUAUUGACUCUCUCUAUAUAUAAAGAGUCCUACCCAGUGCUCUGGGUGAUACGAUGGCGCAGCUGCAAGGCCGCAGGAGAGCAGAGAUGAGACUGGAGUGGUGGCAGCACCAAGGAUGGAGACUGAGAUGGCUAUGCGGGCAGAGAGGCCCAGAG